Molecule: long non-coding RNA, 2685 nt
Filed under: Sorghum bicolor (sorghum)
Lineage: Eukaryota; Viridiplantae; Streptophyta; Magnoliopsida; Poales; Poaceae
Description: long non-coding RNA (SBIC_LNC003206)
Source: RNAcentral
GUGUAAAUAGUUCUGGGCAUCCUACUGAUGAGUGAUGAUGGACACCUACUAAUGUUGCCAUUUUCUGGGAAAGUAAAACUGUCAAUAGAAUAAAUCCCCAGUUCCCGGUCAGGCAGUUCGUACUCGUGGGUGUUUAUUUGUGGGCAGCCGGGUGCAUUUCGGUGGGAUGAUGAUGAAGCUCACGAAAAUAGCCGCGGGCCGCGGGGAUGUUAGGAUGGGCUUGCCGGUUGCAUAAGAAAACUUUGUUUCUCUUAGGCCUUGUUUAGUUCCGAAAAAUUUUGGGAAAUCGACACAGUAGCACUUUCAUUUGUAUUUGACAAAUAUUAUUCAAUUAUAGACUAACUAGGCUCAAAAGAUUCGUCUCGUUAAUUUCGACCAAACUGUGCAAUUAGUUUUUAUUUUCAUCUAUAUUUAAUACUUCAUGCAUGCGUCUAAAGAUUCGAUGUGACGGGAAAUGUGAAAAAUUUUGCAAAAUUUUUUGGGAACUAAACAAGGCCUUAUUAUUAGGUAAAAAUAUUUCUUGCAUUCUCUGCUACUUCAUCAAGGACUGCUGUGAAAAGUAGUGGUAUUUUUUUCCUAUCUACUUCUACCUCCUGCACGGAUGGCCGAUUCGUCAAGUCCACGUCAUCGUAAGAAAAGUUUGUCAACUUCGUAUAAAUUUAUAGUAGAAAUGCUCGCGGAGUUGCCGCGUAUGGCCAGUUGUAAUGUUUGAUGGCCUCUUUUUUCCGUAGAAAUUGCUUUGUUGAGUAUAUUAGGAUAAGUAUUUAUUUCAGUACAUUUAAAAAAAAUUAUUUUAGUAAUACAUGUUUGUUCCUAGAGUGCAGAGCUUGUAUUGCAUCGUUGUAGUAGUAUAGUUUAUACAUACUUUAUAGGUAAGAAAAAUUUGUUGCUUCGUUAUUUUUGUAUAGGUAUCAUGGUCUGCAGCUCAUUGUUGCACUCAGUAUAUAUUUUGCAAACUCGUAUUAUUUAAGUAAUAUAUUUUAUUAGUUAUGAAAAUGGAGAUAUCAUUUUUUGGCUAUAUUUAUUAUGGAGGGAGAAAUGUUAAAAGUAUUUAUUAAGGAGGGAAGAUCAUGAGUAGCCAAAAGCUAAAUGUAAUUGUGAUACGAGGAGAAUUUGAUCUCGAAUCGUGAAAUUUGCAAUAUUAAAUAUAACCGUAUUUUGUUGAAGAAAGUAUAUUUAUAUAUUUUUUAUGACUAUAAAGCUGGUAAAAUAUUCAAUCAUUUUAUUUUAUUCGUUGUAUGGUUAAGCUACCAUUAAUAGCAAAAAAAAUCAUUAAAAUAUGUGAUGUUAUGUGUUUACAGUGUAUUGGUAGUUGAGUAGAGUUCAACAAAUUUGGUUUAGCAUUUUUUUUAUUUUUUUUAUUUGUUUUAUUAUGUCCUUCCAAAAUUCCAACUGUUUUAGAUAAAGAAUAAAUUCGAACAAAAAUAGAAAUACGUCGUCGGACCGAUUUCAGCCCAGGCAGGCCCAGUGAUAGAUGGCCCGAGCGGGAGUCAGGCCUGCCCAUUUGUUUAUAAGGCCUAGAAAUACAUCGUCGGGUUGAUUUUUGUAAAGUUUGAGGGUUUUUCUAUAAAAAAAUCUCAGAGGAGGCAUGGACUGCGGGUUGAUUCGACUGAAGUUUGAGGGCUUUUUUGUAAAAAGGUCGGUGUGAGCACGAUCUGGACCGUCCGCGAGUCCGAUCCGACGUCCGAGAAGAGCAGGCGACGUGGCCACGCUGAUUGGGCCUCUUUUGUUGCAAGAAUCGUAGUAAGGAGAUGAGUGUUAGUCGUUGUUGAUGUAAAUUUGGUCUUUGACGUCGAAAAUCACACGAGCUGUCAGAAAAAGUAUAAGAACUAAAGUCCUAGAUCUCCUGAGUCAUAAACACACGAACUUGAUGAUUUAAUUCUGAGAUGUGCCAGUCAAUUUGACUUAAAAUUGACAAGGUAGAGAUAUAAAAGUAAAAUAUGGAACCUGCCAGUUACUGGCAGACAGUUCCGAGAUAUAUGACUUUAAAAAGUCGUUAAUCAAAGAAAAUUGACUAGAGAGUCAACUCAUCACGUUGAUAAUGCAUCAUGAUAUUCGUUAUUAAAUGUUUAAAAUAUCAUCAAAUAAUUACGUUUAUACGGAAAGAUGACUAAAUCAGCUAUUUAGCCGAUACGUAAUAUAUGUGUAUGAGAUAGCUUAUGUAUAUUAUCCUUUUAUUCACUAAAUAAACGAUAACUAGUUCUGCGGUCUUAAUAAAUUACUUUCAUAACUAUAUUAAAUCUAUAUUCACCUGGUCUAAAGGUCAGCCGGCUUCAAUAAAUUCAACACGAAUUACUAGUUCAUUUAAUUACAAGCGGGUUCAUGCACGCGCGCUAUUCAUUAAAGCUUAACAGGAUCAGCAAUUUAGCCGAUAUAGAGUCCAUGAGGCAUGAAUAGGAUCUAUCUACUUCGUUAUGACUAGAUUUAGUUGUAAUUACCAAAUUAAUCAUAAUAGAGUAAAUAUCCUGAACGCACAACAUGUAAUAACCAAAAUCGACAGACUAACUAUCUUAUAUUUUCGUUUAAAGUUCACAGCAAGUGUUUCAAUUUAAAGCUCAAGCUAAUCCGUCGAAUGGGCAGAAUAUUGUUACGAUAAAUAAAGCAUUAAUCCUUGAACAAUAUUGAUAACUUAAUGAAUCUAUUAAAUCGCCAAUUUAAUAGAGCCGAUAAACCGAUACUCAUAGG